AAGUCGAACGAUGAAGCCCAGCUUGCUGGGUGGAUUAGUGGCGAACGGGUGAGUAACACGUGAGUAACCUGCCCUUAACUCUGGGAUAAGCCUGGGAAACUGGGUCUAAUACCGGAUAGGAGCGUCCACCGCAUGGUGGGUGUUGGAAAGAUUUAUCGGUUUUGGAUGGACUCGCGGCCUAUCAGCUUGUUGGUGAGGUAAUGGCUCACCAAGGCGACGACGGGUAGCCGGCCUGAGAGGGUGACCGGCCACACUGGGACUGAGACACGGCCCAGACUCCUACGGGAGGCAGCAGUGGGGAAUAUUGCACAAUGGGCGCAAGCCUGAUGCAGCGACGCCGCGUGAGGGAUGACGGCCUUCGGGUUGUAAACCUCUUUCAGUAGGGAAGAAGCGAAAGUGACGGUACCUGCAGAAGAAGCACCGGCUAACUACGUGCCAGCAGCCGCGGUAAUACGUAGGGUGCGAGCGUUAUCCGGAAUUAUUGGGCGUAAAGAGCUCGUAGGCGGUUUGUCGCGUCUGUCGUGAAAGUCCGGGGCUUAACCCCGGAUCUGCGGUGGGUACGGGCAGACUAGAGUGCAGUAGGGGAGACUGGAAUUCCUGGUGUAGCGGUGGAAUGCGCAGAUAUCAGGAGGAACACCGAUGGCGAAGGCAGGUCUCUGGGCUGUAACUGACGCUGAGGAGCGAAAGCAUGGGGAGCGAACAGGAUUAGAUACCCUGGUAGUCCAUGCCGUAAACGUUGGGCACUAGGUGUGGGGACCAUUCCACGGUUUCCGCGCCGCAGCUAACGCAUUAAGUGCCCCGCCUGGGGAGUACGGCCGCAAGGCUAAAACUCAAAGGAAUUGACGGGGGCCCGCACAAGCGGCGGAGCAUGCGGAUUAAUUCGAUGCAACGCGAAGAACCUUACCAAGGCUUGACAUGUUCUCGAUCGCCGUAGAGAUACGGUUUCCCCUUUGGGGCGGGUUCACAGGUGGUGCAUGGUUGUCGUCAGCUCGUGCCGGGAGAUGUUGGGUUAAGUCCCGCAACGAGCGCAACCCUCGUUCCAUGUUGCCAGCACGUAAUGGGGGGGACC
This is a ribosomal RNA of 1069 nucleotides. It matches the Rfam family "Bacterial small subunit ribosomal RNA", at positions 59 to 1139 of the family's 1533-position model.